This 420-nucleotide ribosomal RNA is filed under the name Fusobacteriota bacterium. RNAcentral describes it as "Fusobacteria bacterium partial 16S ribosomal RNA". It matches the Rfam family "Bacterial small subunit ribosomal RNA", at positions 355 to 776 of the family's 1533-position model. Lineage: Bacteria; Fusobacteriati; Fusobacteriota. The record is from RNAcentral.
UGGGGGAUAUUGCACAAUGGGCGAAAGCCUGAUGCAGCGACGCCGCGUGGGGGAUGAAGGCCUUCGGCUUGUAAACUUCUUUUGCUCUGAACAAGGCAUGCCUUUGGGGUGUGUUGAGUGUAGGGGUUGAUUAGCGCCGGCUAACUACGUGCCAGCAGCCGCGGUAAUACGUAGGGCGCGAGCGUUGUCCGGAAUUAUUGGGCGUAAAGGGCUUGUAGGUGGCUGGUUGCGUCUGUCGUGAAAGCUCAUGGCUUAACUGUGGGUUUGCGGUGGGUACGGGCUGGCUUGAGUGCAGUAGGGGAGGCUGGAAUUCCUGGUGUAGCGGUGGAAUGCGCAGAUAUCAGGAGGAAUACCGGUGGCGAAGGCGGGUCUCUGGGCUGUUACUGACGCUGAGGAGCGAAAGCGUGGGGAGCGAACAGG